RNAcentral lists this ribosomal RNA (273 nucleotides) under uncultured bacterium. RNAcentral's name for it is "partial 16S ribosomal RNA". It matches the Rfam family "Bacterial small subunit ribosomal RNA", at positions 524 to 796 of the family's 1533-position model. The record is from RNAcentral.
UACGGAGGGUGCGAACGUUAAUCGGAAUUACUGGGCGUAAAGCGCGCGUAGGCGGUUCGAUAAGUGGGAUGUGAAAGCCCCGGGCUCAACCUGGGAAUUGCCUUCCAAACUGUCGGGCUAGAGUGUGGUAGAGGGAGGUAGAAUUUCCUGUGUAGCGGUGAAAUGCGUAGAUAUAGGAAGGAAUACCAGUGGCGAAGGCGGCCUCCUGGACCAACACUGACGCUGAGGUGCGAAAGCGUGGGGAGCAAACAGGAUUAGAAACCCCUGUAGUCC